CCUACGGGUGGCAGCAGUGAGGAAUAUUGGUCAAUGGACGCAAGUCUGAACCAGCCAUGCCGCGUGCAGGAAGACGGCUCUAUGAGUUGUAAACUGCUUUUGUACGAGGGUAAACGCAGAUACGCGUAUCUGUCUGAAAGUAUCGUACGAAUAAGGAUCGGCUAACUCCGUGCCAGCAGCCGCGGUAAUACGGAGGAUUCAAUCGUUAGCCGGAUUUAUUGGGUUUAAAGGGUGCGUAGGCGGUCGGAUAAGUUAGAGGUGAAAUCCCGAGGCUCAACUUCGGAAUUGCCUCUGAUACUGUUAGGCUAGAGAGUAGUUGCGGUAGGCAGAAUGUAUGGUGUAGCGGUGAAAUGCUUAGAGAUCAUACAGAAUACCGAUUGCGAAGGCAGCUUACCAAGCUACUUCUGACGUUGAGGCACGAAAGCGUGGGGAGCAAACAGGAUUAGAUACCCCUGUAGUC
RNAcentral lists this ribosomal RNA (460 nucleotides) under uncultured bacterium. Its description in RNAcentral is "partial 16S ribosomal RNA". It matches the Rfam family "Bacterial small subunit ribosomal RNA", at positions 338 to 795 of the family's 1533-position model. The record is from RNAcentral.